This 165-nucleotide small nuclear RNA is filed under the name Cricetulus griseus (Chinese hamster). Its description in RNAcentral is "U2 spliceosomal RNA (ENSCGRG00015031350.1)". It matches the Rfam family "U2 spliceosomal RNA". Rfam says of the family: U2 is a small nuclear RNA (snRNA) component of the spliceosome (involved in pre-mRNA splicing). Complementary binding between U2 snRNA (in an area lying towards the 5' end but 3' to hairpin I) and the branchpoint sequence (BPS) of the intron results the bulging out of an unpaired adenosine, on the BPS, which initiates a nucleophilic attack at the intronic 5' splice site, thus starting the first of two transesterification reactions that mediate splicing. Lineage: Eukaryota; Metazoa; Chordata; Mammalia; Rodentia; Cricetidae. The record is from RNAcentral.
AUCACUUCUCGGCCUUUUGGCUAAGAUCAAGUGUAAUACAGUUCUUCAUGAGGUGACCCUCAACCAUAGAAUUAUUUUUGUUGCUACUUCAUAACUGAAGUUUUGCAACUGUUGUGAAUCACAAUGUAAAUCUGUAAUAUGCAUGAUAUCUGAUAUGCAACCCCU